RNAcentral lists this ribosomal RNA (818 nucleotides) under Septoria tormentillae. Its description in RNAcentral is "LSU rRNA". It matches the Rfam family "Eukaryotic large subunit ribosomal RNA", at positions 73 to 920 of the family's 3401-position model. Lineage: Eukaryota; Fungi; Ascomycota; Dothideomycetes; Mycosphaerellales; Mycosphaerellaceae. The record is from RNAcentral.
GAUUGCCCUAGUAACGGCGAGUGAAGCGGCAACAGCUCAAAUUUGAAAUCUGGCGCAAGCCCGAGUUGUAAUUUGUAGAGGAUGCUUCUGGGUAGCGACCGAUCUAAGUUCCUUGGAACAGGACGUCAUAGAGGGUGAGAAUCCCGUAUGUGACCGGCCCGCACCCUUUACGUAGCUCCUUCGACGAGUCGAGUUGUUUGGGAAUGCAGCUCUAAAUGGGAGGUAAAUUUCUUCUAAAGCUAAAUACCGGCCAGAGACCGAUAGCGCACAAGUAGAGUGAUCGAAAGAUGAAAAGUACUUUGGAAAGAGAGUUAAAAAGCACGUGAAAUUGUUGAAAGGGAAGCGCCUGCAACCAGACUUCGCGGCAGUGUUCCGCCGGUCUUCUGACCGGUUCAUUCUCUGUCGCGAGGCCAUCAUCGUCUGGGCCCGCCGGAUAAGACCUUAGGAAUGUAGCUCACCUUCGGGGGAGUGUUAUAGCCUAGGGUGAUGCGGCGAGGCUCGGGCGAGGUCCGCGCUUCGGCAAGGAUGAUGGCGUAAUGGUUGUCGGCGGCCCGUCUUGAAACACGGACCAAGGAGUCUAACAUCUAUGCGAGUGUUCGGGUGUCAAACCCCUACGCGUAAUGAAAGUGAACGGAGGUGGGAACCGCAAGGUGCACCAUCGACCGAUCCUGAUGUCCUCGGAUGGAUUUGAGUAAGAGCAUAGCUGUUGGGACCCGAAAGAUGGUGAACUAUGCCUGAAUAGGGUGAAGCCAGAGGAAACUCUGGUGGAGGCUCGCAGCGGUUCUGACGUGCAAAUCGAUCGUCAAAUUUGGGUAUAG